GAAACGCGAUAGUUAAUGUGAAUUGCAGAAUUCAGUGAAUCAUCGAGUCUUUGAACGCACAUGGCGCCCAUAGGUAUUCCUUUGGGCAUGUCUGUUUGAGCGUCAUUACAACCCUCAGCUAACCGCUGGUUUUGAACCUGAACGGGUGACACCGCGCCGGUUUUAAAGUUGUAAGCUCUGCUGGCCGCUCUGCCCAACCAGAACAUAGUAAGCACUACUUGUCCGGGUGAAGCUGAACGGUACGGCCUGAACAAAACCUACCCACUCUCAAGGUUUGACCUCAGAUCAGACAAGGAUACCCGCUGAACUUAAGC
RNAcentral lists this unclassified non-coding RNA (314 nucleotides) under plant metagenome. Its description in RNAcentral is "partial contains 5.8S ribosomal RNA, internal transcribed spacer 2, and large subunit ribosomal RNA". The stretch from base 1 to 105 matches the Rfam family "5.8S ribosomal RNA", at positions 50 to 154 of the family's 154-position model. The record is from RNAcentral.